CAUCUUACAAGUGUAGAAUUUCUUCCUUAUAAAAAUGAUAUUGGACUAGUUCUUGCUCUCAUAUAUAUUACAAAGGAUCUUCUAUGCUUUUGCUAGUUUUUUACAAGAAAUAAUGUGAGAAAAGUUGGUUUCAUCCAAAUACGUGGCAAUCAUGCCAAAAGCCUUCUUUUCACAUCUCGUAAAGUCCUUCCUGUCUUUAGCAUCAGCAUGCAUGCUUGGAGGCUCUUUACUUUCAUCUAUAAUAUUCCAAAGGUCCAAAGAUGCCAAUAAAAGUUCUAUUUUCAUCUUCCAAUGGUAGAAAUUAUCACCUUUAAACUUUUCAAUCACUCUCAAAUCUUCACCCUCAUUAGAAGCCAUGUCUAAGAAUAUAUCUAUCAAAAAAUAUCAAAAAAAAAAGAGUCUCUAUGUGCUUAAAUUCAUCAAAAUAAUUUUACACUAGCAAUAUCUCAAAAUACCCUCUUGUAAACAAAUGAAUGUUUCUUCACUCCAAACACUUCUAACUCAACUUUCAAAGCUUCUAACAAGUAUGUAGAUUCCAUUCAGCCUUACU
Molecule: long non-coding RNA, 550 nt
Filed under: Physcomitrium patens
Lineage: Eukaryota; Viridiplantae; Streptophyta; Bryopsida; Funariales; Funariaceae
Description: long non-coding RNA (PPAT_LNC013787)
Source: RNAcentral